This 429-nucleotide ribosomal RNA is filed under the name Bacteroidota bacterium. RNAcentral describes it as "Bacteroidetes bacterium partial 16S ribosomal RNA". It matches the Rfam family "Bacterial small subunit ribosomal RNA", at positions 355 to 776 of the family's 1533-position model. The record is from RNAcentral. Lineage: Bacteria; Pseudomonadati; Bacteroidota.
UAGGGAAUCUUCGGCAAUGGGGGGAACCCUGACCGAGCAACGCCGCGUGAGUGAAGAAGGUUUUCGGAUCGUAAAGCUCUGUUGUUAAGGAAGAACGAGUGUGAGAAUGGAAAGUUCAUACUGUGACGGUACUUAACCAGAAAGGGACGGCUAACUACGUGCCAGCAGCCGCGGUAAUACGUAGGUCCCGAGCGUUGUCCGGAUUUAUUGGGCGUAAAGCGAGCGCAGGCGGUUAGAUAAGUCUGAAGUUAAAGGCAGUGGCUCAACCAUUGUAGGCUUUGGGAACAGUUUAACUUGAGUGCAGAAGGGGAGAGUAGAAUUCCAUGUGUAGCGGUGAAAUGCUUAGAUAUAUUGAGGAACACCUGUGGCGAAAGCUGCUCUCUGGUCUUUAACUGACGCUGAAGCUCGAAAGCGUGGGGAGCGAACAGG